RNAcentral lists this non-coding RNA (138 nucleotides) under Branchiibius hedensis. The record is from RNAcentral. Lineage: Bacteria; Bacillati; Actinomycetota; Actinomycetes; Micrococcales; Dermacoccaceae.
CUGCCGGUGUGAGUCCGGUCCGGGUAGCCGCCAGGAGGCCCGGUAGCAGGCUGGCGGUGUCGGAGGGAAACCUGCGGUGUCGAAGCCCAGCGUCGAAAGCCCUUCAAGGGGGAGCGACUGAGCCCUGAUCCACCGUUG